CCGAAGAGCUAGUCAGAGGCCACCAUGCUCUUCCAACAACCCUGACGCUUGUAAACGGUGCUACGUGGCCUGACACAUGACAUGUGCCAAAUAAAUGUUUGCCUAACUGACAGAGGGCGGCUCCAAGUCCCUCACACGGCACACAGCAGUGAACCUCGGCCCACUCCGAAGCCAGCAGUGGGAGGCCCGAGAGACUGUUCUGGGCGUGGAAAGCCAACAUCAAGCUGUAUAUGGUAAAAAUGAUGCCUUUGUACCAAUCCUCCCUUCACGCCCUUUGGCCAUCUGUCGGCUUGAACUGGAAGAGAUGUGAGAGGUCAUGAAGCCAACCAUCCUUGGCGGAACGAGAAGGGAAGUAACUGGAUGUCGGAAGGGGCCGAGGGCUGGUCCCCGGACUCCUAGCCCCUUCCCCACAUCCGAUGACUGGGUCACCUGAGGAGGAAGAGGAGUUACCUUGAUCAGUCACAGGCGGAUCUGAGUCACCUCUAGUCCCUAACGUCAGAAGAAAGUGCAUCAGUGGCCUCUUCCCACAUCUUCAACUAUCAAAACAGACCUAUUUUCCUCACCCACCAGGAGGAGGUGAUUCGAAGUGAGCCAAGGCGGGAGAGGCGCUCCAAACAGCACACGCCCACUGCGAACGAUGAUACAGUUAUGAUCCUCGUCACCAUCAAAUGAGUGUGACAGCGCGGCCAUCUCUGCGGGUGCUCGCGGCUCAGCGCCAGCAGACACUAUGUGCUCAGUAAAUCCCAGCUGCUGGUGCUCUGGGCUUACUACUGCUUCUAAGUUUUCAAAGCCCUUGACACCUGUGUUUCACACACGCAGUUAUCACAGCCUGUUCACCACACGGGUUUCACCCCUGGGGUAAGACGAUGCUUUGCUUUUCUACUCUUUUUCAUUUGAUCACGAAACAUUUCAUUGGAUUUUCUCUGCUGUCCUUUUCAAAAUGAACUGACCGAGGCUCCUCCA
Molecule: long non-coding RNA, 963 nt
Organism: Zalophus californianus (California sea lion)
Lineage: Eukaryota; Metazoa; Chordata; Mammalia; Carnivora; Otariidae
Exons: 4
Source: RefSeq, a predicted model, not a curated record